Molecule: long non-coding RNA, 2705 nt
Organism: Oncorhynchus tshawytscha (Chinook salmon)
Lineage: Eukaryota; Metazoa; Chordata; Actinopteri; Salmoniformes; Salmonidae
Source: Ensembl
GAUGGAAUGGGUAUGCUGUAUGUCUGGCAGGACAGUGGGACAUGUAUAGUGACUUCAGAAAGAAUUCAGACCCCUUGACUUUUUCCACAUUUUGUUACGUUACAGCCUUAUUCUAAAAUGGAUUCAAUACAAAUAUACACACAAUAUAUAUACACAAGUAUGUGGACACCCUUUCAAAUUAGUGGAUUCUAUUUCAGCCACACUUGUCACUGACAGGUGUAUACAAUCGAGCACACAGCCAUGGAAUCUUCAUAGACAAACAUUGGCAGUAGAAUGGCCUUAUUGAAGAGCUCAAUGACUUUCAAUGUGGCACCGUCAAAGGAAACCACCUUUCCAACAAGUCAGUUCGUCAAAUGUCUGCCCUGUUAGAGCUGCUCCGGUCCACUAUAAGUAGUAUUAUUGUGAAGUGGAAAAGUUUAGGAGCAACAACGGCACAGCUGCAAAGUGAUAGGCCACACAAGCUCACAGAACGGGGCCGAGCGCUGAAGCGCAUAAUGCGUAACAAUUGUCUGUCCUCGGUUACAGCACACACACAAUGGGUUUCCAUGGCUGAGCAGCAGCACACAAGCCUUAGAUCACCAUGAGCAAUACCAAGUGUCAGCUGCAGUGGUGUAAAGCUCACCACCAUUGGCCUCUGGAGCAGUGGAAACGUGUUCUCUGGAGUCAUGAAUAACGCUUCACCAUUUGGUGAAUCUGAAUCUGUGUUUGGGGUGUGCCAGGAGAACACCACCUGCCUGAAUGCACAGUGCCAACUGUAAAGUUCGGUGGAAGAGGAAUAAUGGACUGGGGCUGUUUUUUAUGGUUCGGGCUAGUUCCUGUGAAGGGAAAUCUUGACAUUGACAUUCAAGACGAUUCUGUGUUUCCAACUUUGUGGCAACAGGUUGGAGAAGGCCCUUUCAUGUUUCAGCAUGGCAAUGCCCUCAUCCACAAAGUGAGGUCCAUACAGAAAUGGUUUGUCGAGAUCAAUGUGGAAGAACUUGACUGGCCUUCAUAGAGCCCUGACCUCAACCCCAUCGAACACCUUGGGAUGAAUUGGAAAGGCGAAUGCGAGCCAGGUCUAAUCACCCAACAUCAGUGCCUGUCCGCAAUAAUGCUCUUGUGGCUGAAUGGAAGCAAGUCCCAGCAGCAAUGUACCAACAUCUAGUAGAAAGCCUUCCCAGAAGAGUGGAGGCUGUUAUAACAGCAAUGUACCAACAUCUAGCAGAAAGCCUUCCCAGAAGAGUGGAGGCUGUUAUAGCAGCAAAGGGGGGACAAACUCCAUAUUAAUGCCUAUGAGUUUGGAAUGAGAUGUUCGAUGAGCAGGUGUCCACAUACUUUUGGUCAUGUAGUUUAUCUGUGUGUGUUCAUCUACAUUAAUUAAUAUUAUAUAUACACAAUAUCAGCACAUACAGAACAUCACACAGAAGACCCUGAUAUCAUGGAGACGCUCAAUGGACUGAGAGAUGGAGGGAGGGAUGUAUGGAAUGAUGGCAGUAUGGUGGGAUAGACAGAAUGAUGGCAGGAUGUAUGGAAUGAUGGCAGUAUGGUGGGAGGGAUGUAUGGAAUGAUGGCAGUAUGGUGGGAUGGACAGAAUGAUGGCAGUAUGGUGGGAUGGACAGAUGGAGGGAGGGAUGUAUGGAAUGAUGGCAGUAUGGUGGGAUGGACAGAUGGAGGGAGGGAUGUAUGGAAUGAUGGCAGUAUGGUGGGAUGGACAGAUGGAGGGAGGAGAGUUUGAGGCUUCCAUUCCAUGAGAAAGGUAGAAUAUUGUUUGUACUGAAGGAAUGGAAGGAUACAGAGAAAGAGGAGGAAGAGAAUGAAGAGGAGGAGGAGAGAGGGCAGGAAGUCACAGGCAUGCGUAGGACAGAUCCUUAAACACAGACCAACCCACACACACACAAACACUCCUCCCCUUCCUCAUCACCCGUCUCCCCCUAAACACUAGUACUAUAAUACAGACAGCUACACCAAACACACACCUCUUCAGAAACCUAACCUAGCCUGGCUUGUGAAGAUCUUCAAUAACAGGAUGAGGGAGAUAAGAUGGAGAGAAAGAGAGACAGAAAGAGAAACAAAUGGAAAUGAUCCCCUUCCCCCCCAUUCUAACCUUAACCAUUAGUGAGGAGACCUGACCCUAGUUCAGCAUCUAGGGGGCAACUUCACCAUCCACCCACUGCAUGGCAUGUAGGCAAAGGUUCUACCUUUUGAACUGUUCUAUUGGCCAUGAGGUGUAAGCUCCGCCUACACAGCUCUGUGUGAAUUACAUCAGGUACCUGUUGUUAAUGGAGGUGGUUGAUAUGAAGGAGAGAGGCAAUACAAACAACGUGAUUGGAUGAUGUAGAGAAGGAGGUCUGGUUAACAACCUAUCAGAAGACAGGAUGACCAAUAGAAAAUAAAUUAGCAAUCAAAUAAAAACAACAGUCACAGAGAGAGAAACAACAGCUUGGUCCUGAAAGAAACGGGCAACUUUUACUGCAGACAAACUGAAGCUUUAAAAACCCUGUUAAAAUUAUAACACAUCUCCUGGUCGCUGUGUCUGUCUGGAGCUCAGAGGACUGACUGGGUUAAGGUAGAGUGGAGUGGAUCAGUCCACUCUAGACUAAAGAGAGGGGUGGUCCAUAUCCUUAACAGACUACACCAAUCUGGGGGGGCAGAGAAGCUGGUGUUGACAGAGCAAGAGGAGAAGGAGGGUAGAAUCAGCUGGUGUCGGUCGGUUUACAGUUCUGAUC